Molecule: ribosomal RNA, 929 nt
Filed under: Thaxterogaster australis
Lineage: Eukaryota; Fungi; Basidiomycota; Agaricomycetes; Agaricales; Cortinariaceae
Description: LSU rRNA
Rfam family: Eukaryotic large subunit ribosomal RNA
Source: RNAcentral
AGCAUAUCAAUAAGCGGAGGAAAAGAAACUAACAAGGAUUCCCCUAGUAACUGCGAGUGAAGCGGGAAAAGCUCAAAUUUAAAAUCUGGCAGUCUCUGGCUGUCCGAGUUGUAAUCUAGAGAAGUGUUAUCCGCGCUGGACCGUGUACAAGUCUCCUGGAAUGGAGCGUCAUAGAGGGUGAGAAUCCCGUCUUUGACACGGACUGCCAGGGCUUUGUGAUGCGCUCUCAAAGAGUCGAGUUGUUUGGGAAUGCAGCUCAAAAUGGGUGGUAAAUUCCAUCUAAAGCUAAAUAUUGGCGAGAGACCGAUAGCGAACAAGUACCGUGAGGGAAAGAUGAAAAGAACUUUGGAAAGAGAGUUAAACAGUACGUGAAAUUGCUGAAAGGGAAACGCUUGAAGUCAGUCGCGUUGGCCAGGGAUCAACCUUGCUUUUGCUUGGUGCACUUUCUGGUUGACGGGUCAGCAUCAAUUUUGACUAUUGGAAAAAGGUCAGGGGAAUGUGGCAUCUUCGGAUGUGUUAUAGCCCUUAGCUGCAUACAAUGGUUGGGAUUGAGGAACUCAGCACGCCGCAAGGCCGGGUUUUAACCACGUACGUGCUUAGGAUGCUGGCAUAAUGGCUUUAAUCGACCCGUCUUGAAACACGGACCAAGGAGUCUAACAUGCCUGCGAGUGUUUGGGUGGAAAACCCGAGCGCGCAAUGAAAGUGAAAGUUGAGAUCCCUGUCGUGGGGAGCAUCGACGCCCGGACCAGACCUUUUGUGACGGUCCCGCGGUAGAGCAUGUAUGUUGGGACCCGAAAGAUGGUGAACUAUGCCUGAAUAGGGUGAAGCCAGAGGAAACUCUGGUGGAGGCUCGUAGCGAUUCUGACGUGCAAAUCGAUCGUCAAAUUUGGGUAUAGGGGCGAAAGACUAAUCGAACCAUCUAGUAGCUG